This 700-nucleotide ribosomal RNA is filed under the name uncultured bacterium. RNAcentral describes it as "bacterial SSU rRNA". It matches the Rfam family "Bacterial small subunit ribosomal RNA", at positions 94 to 828 of the family's 1533-position model. The record is from RNAcentral.
AGUGGCGGACGGGUGAGUAACGCGUAAGAAUCUAACUUCAGGACGGGGACAACAGUUGGAAACGACUGCUAAUACCCGAUGUGCCGCAAGGUGAAACCUAAUUGGCCUGGAGAAGAGCUUGCGUCUGAUUAGCUAGUUGGUGGGGUAAAGGCCUACCAAGGCGACGAUCAGUAGCUAGUCUGAGAGGAUGAGCAGCCACACUGGGACUGAGACACGGCCCAGACUCCUACGGGAGGCAGCAGUGGGGAAUUUUCCGCAAUGGGCGAAAGCCUGACGGAGCAACGCCGCGUGAGGGAGGAAGGUCUUUGGAUUGUAAACCUCUUUUCUCAAGGAAGAAGUUCUGACGGUACUUGAGGAAUCAGCCUCGGCUAACUCCGUGCCAGCAGCCGCGGUAAUACGGGGGAGGCGAGCGUUAUCCGGAAUUAUUGGGCGUAAAGCGUCCGCAGGAGGUCAGCCAAGUCUGCCGUCAAAUCAGGUUGCUUAACGACCUAAAGGCGGUGGAAACUGGCAGACUAGAGAGCAGUAGGGGUAGCAGGAAUUCCCAGUGUAGCGGUGAAAUGCGUAGAGAUUGGGAAGAACAUCGGUGGCGAAAGCGUGCUACUGGGCUGUAUCUGACACUCAGGGACGAAAGCUAGGGGAGCGAAAGGGAUUAGAUACCCCUGUAGUCCUAGCCGUAAACGAUGGAUACUAGGCGUGGCUU